UUUAUUAUAAAUGCACAAGAUCCGCUAUCUAAUUAUUACUAUUGUCAUAGCCAAAGGGUUAAGAACAAAUUAUAGCCACUGUUCAUCUAACUAGACUUGACUAGUAGAUCGCCUUUGAUAGCAUUACAAUUAAAACAGUAUCAAAUGUAGCAAACCAUUUGCAUAAAAUUGAUAUGGUAAAAUGGUAGAACAGCUUUUUAAAAAUUCUUUCGUAACUGCAGUUCGCCUUUAGAUGGAAUUACAACUUCAACGAAACAAUAUGCGGAGAAACGUUUUUACGAAAUGAUUCGCGCGAUAAAAUGAUAUGAUACCCUCCUAAAAAUUGUCUUGAAACUGAAUCUGGCUAAGAAAGGUGGUCCUAUUAGCGCGGAGAACGGACCAGGUCACAAGUUCAAAGCGUGAAAGCAAA
This is a non-coding RNA of Megalopta genalis, 409 nucleotides long. The record is from RefSeq and is a predicted model, not a curated record. Lineage: Eukaryota; Metazoa; Arthropoda; Insecta; Hymenoptera; Halictidae.